CAUUGAACGGACUCAAUAGUUACUAGGAUGGUAGCUACUAAGGAAAGACAAUGGACUCCUCUAGGAUAGAGGCAAGGAACAAACAUCAGGAUGAUGUCAAGGACACCGCUCAAGGAACAAGUGAGCACGCUAAUCAGGAAGGUUAGCAGAUCAGGAUAAGAUCAAGGACACCGCUAGGAAGGCGAUGAAAAGGAUUACGCUGAAGGACACAGCGCUGCUAUCAAGGAUUUGAUGCAUGGAGCACUUUUAGUAGCCGGAUUGCUGCGAGUAAGACUACGGCCCCGAUACGCAAGUAUCGGGGCUUUUCUUAUUU
RNAcentral lists this non-coding RNA (313 nucleotides) under Vibrio tapetis subsp. tapetis. Lineage: Bacteria; Pseudomonadati; Pseudomonadota; Gammaproteobacteria; Vibrionales; Vibrionaceae. The record is from RNAcentral.